This 518-nucleotide ribosomal RNA is filed under the name uncultured bacterium. RNAcentral describes it as "bacterial SSU rRNA". It matches the Rfam family "Bacterial small subunit ribosomal RNA", at positions 28 to 536 of the family's 1533-position model. The record is from RNAcentral.
GACGAACGCUGGCGGCGUGCUUAAUACAUGCAAGUCGAGCGAGGUUACUGUUUUGGAUCCCUUCGGGGUGAAGAAGCUUUAACCUAGCGGCGGACGGGUGAGUAACGCGUGGGUAACCUACCCCAAAGUCCGGGAUAACAGCGGGAAACCGCUGCUAAUACCGGAUGCCUUUACCUUGGGGCAUCUUGAGGUAAAGAAAGGCAACGCUUUGGGAUGGGCCCGCGUCCCAUUAGCUAGUUGGUGAGGUAACGGCUCACCAAGGCGACGAUGGGUAGCCGGCCUGAGAGGGUGGACGGCCACACUGGGACUGAGACACGGCCCAGACUCCUACGGGAGGCAGCAGUAGGGAAUAUUGCGCAAUGGACGGAAGUCUGACGCAGCGACGCCGCGUGAGCGAUGAAGGUCUUCGGAUCGUAAAGCUCUGUCCUUGGGGAAGAAGGCGAAAGCUUGACGGUACCCAAGAAGAAAGCCCCGGACUAACCUACGUGCCAGCAGGCCGCGGUAAAAUCAACCGUGUA